RNAcentral lists this transfer RNA (76 nucleotides) under Candidatus Lambdaproteobacteria bacterium RIFOXYC1_FULL_56_13. RNAcentral's name for it is "tRNA-Asn". It matches the Rfam family "tRNA". Rfam says of the family: Transfer RNA (tRNA) molecules are approximately 80 nucleotides in length. Their secondary structure includes four short double-helical elements and three loops (D, anti-codon, and T loops). Lineage: Bacteria; Pseudomonadati; Pseudomonadota; Candidatus Lambdaproteobacteria. The record is from RNAcentral. RNAcentral also lists the same sequence under 3 other names.
UCCCCGAUAGCUCAGUUGGUAGAGCAGGCGACUGUUAAUCGCCUUGUCGCAAGUUCGAGUCUUGCUCGGGGAGCCA